CCCACCCUACCCGAUCCAUACUUGCAUUUCUCCAUCUCUCUCUGCUCUGCUAGGGCCGAACGGCUGCCCUCCGAUGGUCACCGGCGUGCAGACACCCGAUCAGGAGUACCAGACGCCGCUGAAACUCCAGCCUCGCGAGCCCUUCGUUGCCGUUCUCCGCCGCGAGCAGAAGCCUCCAGCUGGUGGAGCGGUGGCCUCGCAGGGGUCGCGACGGUGGGGGCAUUGAACAAUCAGAGGUAUGCCGUCGCAGCUGGUGGAGCGGUGGCCUCGCAGGGGUCGCGACGGUGGUCUCUGCUCUAAGUUUCGUAUGAAGUUGUUUGGAGGCUUUGAUGUAUUCCAAUUAUUUGGCUUGGUGUAUUUUGAGAUUUGGGAUUCCUUGGUUUGGUGGCUGUGUGAUUUGGGAUUUAAAUUUUUACUUGUUUAUCUUAAAAUUUUCUUGUAACUCUAGGAUAUUUUCUGGUUAGUUUCUGAUUUUAUCUUUUGGAUGUUUUUUGUCUUGAGCUGGAAAGUAGUGUAAGGAAACCAAGGCAUAUGGAUCUCUUAAACUAAUGGUUGAUGCUCUUCAAGUGUUUGAGAAAUUGAUGCAAAGAAACUACAGAAUAUGAUUUAAUGAAA
Molecule: long non-coding RNA, 615 nt
Organism: Humulus lupulus (European hop)
Lineage: Eukaryota; Viridiplantae; Streptophyta; Magnoliopsida; Rosales; Cannabaceae
Exons: 2
Source: RefSeq, a predicted model, not a curated record